RNAcentral lists this long non-coding RNA (2159 nucleotides) under Mus musculus (house mouse). RNAcentral's name for it is "Lnc06". Lineage: Eukaryota; Metazoa; Chordata; Mammalia; Rodentia; Muridae. The record is from RNAcentral.
UCGGCUGUUGUUUUAGAGUAUUGCAUUAUUCAUGAGAAGGUUAGCUAGAAUGGAACUCCCUAAUUAGAACCAUGACUUGGGUGUGAAAGCCCUUGCCCCAGGAGUGUAAAGACCUCACACCUGGCUUCUAAGAAUAUAGCUGACCUUAGAUAGAGCUGAAUUUGUUUCAGUUGUUUUAUUGCCCAGUUCCUGUCAGUCUUUGUGUUUGCAUUCCUCUGUUUUGUGUUAGAGUCACUAAGCAUCCGGUAACCUCAUUGUACCUUGCCGAUGUGUCACCUAACUUCCCUAUUUUCUUCUGUAUUAAAAGUCUGGUGCUUACUUUGAGAAAUUACAUUCAGAUACCACACUCCCUUGUGUUCAUGUCUGUUUGUCACCCUUUUCUCGAGAUUUACAAAUGGGUGGGAAGAGGAAGUUUGGAGAGGGGCCAGUGAAUGGAACAACAUGAGGCAGAGGCACACCUUGGAAGACCACAGUCCUCAUCACUACACUGCAAGCAGAUGGUACUGCAGUUGGUUAGGUUGAGAAAACAAGGGUCCAAGUCAGAAGGAAAGAGAGAGCGAGGGCAACACUCAGGGGAUGGCAGGGCCCUGAGUAUGAUGAGCAUUAUACACUCACAGUGAGGAAAGUAAGGUUGCCAAGGGCACAGAAAGCACCAAGCAAAUCGUGCAGCUUGUAUGAUAGUGUGUGGGUGCAGUAUCUGCACAUAGCUCUCAGGACCUCAGGGCCCGCCUCCAGGACACUUAGGGAAGCCCAGAUCUCUUAUGCAAGUGCUGUGAUUGCCCUACACAAACAUCCACUCAUAAACUCAACUUAUCCUUAGACGAUGUCUGAGACCCUAGACCAGUGGUUUCCAACUUGUGGGUCAUGACCCCUUUGUGGGUUUGAAUGACCCUUUCACAUGGGGCCACCUAAGACCAUCAGAAACACAGAUGUUUACAUUAUGAUUCGUGACAGUAGCACAAUUAGAGUUAUGGAGUAGCAACAAAAAUAACUUUAUGGUUGGGGGUCACCACAACAUGAGGGACUGUAUAAAAGGGUCACAGCAUGAGGAAGGUUGAGAACCACUGUCCUAGACAAUGGUAGCACUGGGUGUUGUGCUGUGCUGUGCUGCGCUGUGCUGUGCUGCGGAAGGGACAAAGAUGAGAACACAAGUGUGCACUAGUGUGCAGGACAGACAUAAUUUCCCCCGUAUGUGCACUCUGAGGAUGGUUGAGCAUGUAGAUGCAGUGUCCACAUGUGUAGAGCCCACCUGUGGGAAAACGGAAGAAAAAGUAAAGUAAGAACUGUGUCCUGGAGGGAAGAAAACCUAGGUGGGAUUUCAGUACCUCUAUUAUCUUAAUUUUCAGGAAACCCAUAUAUUAGACAUACAAAAGUGUUACUUAAAAAAUGUAAUUUUGGUAAAGAGGGCAGAGAAGGCAAAAGAAGCUGGGGCCAGAAACAGAGUCCAAACUUUGGGAAUUUGGUUAACACAGUGCCUGUGGCAGGUUGGAGACUGGGGCAUGAAGACAGAACUGGGGUUGAGAAUGUAAGACGCCCACCUGGCUCCUGUAUCCACACACCAGGCACUCUCUGUGCCCACACACCCAGGCACACACCCAAGCCCCAGACAGAUCUUUCCUGUACAGAAAGGAGGUGGACACUCUCUGAAAUGCUAUGUUCAUUUGACAGCUCCUGGGAGAUGGAGAACUGUUUUGUUUGUCUUCUUGUUUUUAUUAAUAUUGUAGGUUGGUACCCUGGUAGGCUGACUACACACCAGAGCAAGACCCAAACCCAAGACUAGCUGGGUAAUACCAACUGGUAAAGAAGGAAAAAAGUCAUUUCAAAGUUGGGUGAGAAGCAAAGGGAGGUUUGGUGAGGGUACAGUUGGGGGUGGUAAAGUAUGCUCAAAAUAAAUUGUAAGAACUUUUGAAUAAAACAUUUUUAUUAAAUAUUAAGUUAGAUGUCUUUGUUGUUGUUUUCGAGACAGGGUUUCUCUGUGUAGCCCUGGCUGUCCUGGAACUCACUUUGUAGACCAGGCUGGCCUCGAACUCAGAAAUCUGCCUGCCUCUACCUCCCGAGUGCUGGGAUUAAAGGUGUGCGUCACCACCACCCAGCAUAGAUGUCAUUUUAUAUGGACAUUGUAGACUUACAUGGUGCAGGAAAGCAACUUUAGUUUGUGC